AAAACAGCUAUGGUAAGCGGGCAGCAGUUUUUCAGAUUCAGACAAGUGCAGUGAGCAACGUUAGGUCACCCUGUUCUGUUUCUGAUUUCUUUGACAUCGCUUCGCGUACUCGGUGGCGUGUUUGUGCGAAUUGCGCUUCGGGUAUUUGAAUUUUGGACCAAUCGACAAAGAAGAUGAUUGGGAUUGCAUUUGAGAAACAUGGACUGUACCACCUAUCUCAAGCUACUUCAAAAGCUGCUACCUGCAACCAAUUUAAGUUUCAUUCUUCCUCCUUGGUCUCAGUUAUUACUUAAAUCAAUUAGAUACUUGGCAUUACAGAUUAGGCCAUGUUUCUAACUCAAGAUUACCUUUUCUUAGACAGCUAGAGUCAUCUGUAUGUUGCAGUUCUACAAAUGUUUGUGAUGUAUGUCAGUUAGCAAAGCAAAGAAGGAUUUCAUUUCCUGUAUCUCAAACCAGUUCAAAUAAAAAGUUUGACUUGAUCCAUUGUGAU
Malania oleifera is the source of this 490-nucleotide long non-coding RNA. RefSeq lists it as uncharacterized. Lineage: Eukaryota; Viridiplantae; Streptophyta; Magnoliopsida; Santalales; Ximeniaceae. The record is from RefSeq and is a predicted model, not a curated record. The transcript is spliced from 2 exons.